CCUACGGGAGGCAGCAGUGAGGAAUCUUGGUCAAUGGGCUUACGCCUGAACCAGCAAAGUCGCGUGAGUGAAGACUGCCCUGUGGGUUGUAAGCCUCUUUUGUCAGGGAGAAAGGCCGGCUACGUGUAGCCGGUCUGAUAGUCCGUGAAGAAAAAGCAUCGGCUAGCUCCGUGCCAGCAGCCGCGGGAAUACAGAGGAUGAGGGUGUGAUCCGGAUUUAUUGGGUGUAAAGGGUGCGUAGGCGGAAUGCCAAGUCAGUGGUAAAAUCGCGGGGCUAAACCGAGCUCCGCCUUUGAAACUGGCGUUGUUGAGUGGGCGAGAAGUAUGCGGAACGCGUGGUGUAGCGGUGAAAUGCAUAGAUAUCACGAAGAACUCCGAUUGCGAAGGCAGCAUACUGGCGCCCAACUGACGCUGAAGCUCGAAAGCGUGGGUAGCGAACAGGAUUAGAUACCCCUGUAGUC
RNAcentral lists this ribosomal RNA (460 nucleotides) under uncultured bacterium. Its description in RNAcentral is "partial 16S ribosomal RNA". It matches the Rfam family "Bacterial small subunit ribosomal RNA", at positions 338 to 795 of the family's 1533-position model. The record is from RNAcentral.